GCUUAACUUGAGAACAGGAAAAUUUGUACACCGGAGCACGAAUGCAAUGAAGAACAGAAUACUACUUGUCCGCUACAUUCCUCCUGUUUUGUGAAUAAUGACGUGGUAAACUGCACGUGUUUGAAUGGCUAUCAAGGAGAUAAUUGCAUCGACAUUGACGAGUGCAUAUCGGAUGGUGAUUUGUGCUCCCACAACUGCUUAAACACAGAUGGAAGCUUCAGUU
Mercenaria mercenaria is the source of this 223-nucleotide long non-coding RNA. RefSeq lists it as uncharacterized. Lineage: Eukaryota; Metazoa; Mollusca; Bivalvia; Venerida; Veneridae. The record is from RefSeq and is a predicted model, not a curated record. The transcript is spliced from 3 exons.